RNAcentral lists this ribosomal RNA (258 nucleotides) under uncultured bacterium. Its description in RNAcentral is "partial 16S ribosomal RNA". It matches the Rfam family "Bacterial small subunit ribosomal RNA", at positions 75 to 334 of the family's 1533-position model. The record is from RNAcentral.
CUUGCUUUCUUUGCUGGCGACCGGCGCACGGGUUAGUAACACGUAUCCAACCUGCCCUUUACUCGGGGAUAGCCUUUCGAAAGAAAGAUUAAUACCCGAUAGCAUAAUGAUUCCGCAUGGUUUCAUUAUUAAAGGAUUCCGGUAAAGGAUGGGGAUGCGUUCCAUUAGGUUGUUGGUGGGGUAACGGCCCACCAAGCCUUCGAUGGAUAGGGGUUCUGAGAGGAAGGUCCCCCACAUUGGAACUGAGACACGGUCCAA